UACGUAGGUGACAAGCGUUGUCCGGAUUUACUGGGCGUAAAGAGCGCGCAGGCGGUCGAUCAAGUCGAGUGUGAAAGCCCCCGGCUCAACUGGGGAGGGUCAUUCGAUACUGAUCGACUCGAAGGCAGGAGAGGGAUGCGGAAUUCCAGGUGUAGCGGUGAAAUGCGUAGAUAUCUGGAGGAACACCGGUGGCGAAGGCGGCAUCCUGGACCAAUUCUGACGCUGAGGAGCGAAAGCCAGGGGAGCAAACGGG
This 253-nucleotide ribosomal RNA is filed under the name uncultured bacterium. Its description in RNAcentral is "partial 16S ribosomal RNA". It matches the Rfam family "Bacterial small subunit ribosomal RNA", at positions 524 to 776 of the family's 1533-position model. The record is from RNAcentral.